Molecule: ribosomal RNA, 400 nt
Filed under: uncultured bacterium
Lineage: Bacteria
Description: bacterial SSU rRNA
Rfam family: Bacterial small subunit ribosomal RNA
Source: RNAcentral
GAAUCUUAGACAAUGGGCGCAAGCCUGAUCUAGCCAUACCGCGUGAACGAUGAAGGCCUUAGGGUUGUAAAGUUCUUUCACCGGGGAAGAUAAUGACGGUACCCGGAGAAGAAGCCCCGGCUAACUCCGUGCCAGCAGCCGCGGUAAUACGGAGGGGGCUAGCGUUGUUCGGAAUUACUGGGCGUAAAGCGCACGUAGGCGGAUUGGAAAGUCAGGGGUGAAAUCCCGGGGCUCAACCCCGGAACUGCCUUUGAAACUACCAGUCUAGAGGUCGAGAGAGGUGAGUGGAAUUCCGAGUGUAGAGGUGAAAUUCGUAGAUAUUCGGAGGAACACCAGUGGCGAAGGCGGCUCACUGGCUCGAUUCUGACGCUGAGGUGCGAAAGCGUGGGGAGCAAACAGG